RNAcentral lists this ribosomal RNA (439 nucleotides) under uncultured bacterium. RNAcentral's name for it is "bacterial SSU rRNA". It matches the Rfam family "Bacterial small subunit ribosomal RNA", at positions 954 to 1392 of the family's 1533-position model. The record is from RNAcentral.
GCUUAACGCGAAGAACCUUACCAAGGCUUGACAUACACGAGAACGGGCCAGAAAUGGUCAACUCUUUGGACACUCGUGAACAGGUGGUGCAUGGUUGUCGUCAGCUCGUGUCGUGAGAUGUUGGGUUAAGUCCCGCAACGAGCGCAACCCUCGUCCUAUGUUGCCAGCACGUAAUGGUGGGAACUCAUGGGAGACUGCCGUGGUCAACACGGAGGAAGGUGGGGAUGACGUCAAAUCAUCAUGCCCCUUAUGUCUUGGGCUUCACGCAUGCUACAAUGGCCGGUACAAAGGGCUGCAAUACCGCAAGGUGGAGCGAAUCCCAAAAAGCCGGUCUCAGUUCGGAUUGGGGUCUGCAACUCGACCCCAUGAAGUUGGAGUCGCUAGUAAUCGUAGAUCAGCAACGCUACGGUGAAUACGUUCCCGGGUCUUGUACACACCG